RNAcentral lists this unclassified non-coding RNA (246 nucleotides) under Hevea brasiliensis (rubber tree). The record is from RNAcentral. Lineage: Eukaryota; Viridiplantae; Streptophyta; Magnoliopsida; Malpighiales; Euphorbiaceae.
AAUAGUUAUUACCAUAAACACUACUCUUCCCAGUUUCAAAAUAAAAUUAAUGGUCCAAGACUGAUAGCUUGCUAUUCUUAUCAUCGUCUUUAUGUUCUUUUGACCUUUGGGUGUGGCUGUAUUCAUUCGUAGCAUAAUUGUCCAAGAAUAAGAUAGGGAGGAAAGAUUAAAUGAAACAAUAAGAAGGUCAAAGAAAAAGUUAAUCUGUUCAGAACUGUAAUAUUUUAUAUUAAAAAAAGGUGAAAU